Long non-coding RNA from Aethalodelphis obliquidens (Pacific white-sided dolphin), 1917 nucleotides. RefSeq lists it as uncharacterized. The transcript has 4 exons. NCBI's taxonomy places the organism in Eukaryota, Metazoa, Chordata, Mammalia, Artiodactyla, Delphinidae. The record is from RefSeq and is a predicted model, not a curated record.
AUUAAGAACUCAUUGUGACUUAAUGGGUGGCCUUAAAAGACAAUGUGUUCAAGAAAAUCUGCACCAAAUUUUUCAAUAAGCGUACAGCUUUCUUAAAAGAAAAGAUAACUGCCUUGGAGAACACUGGUCAUUUAAAAACCUUCCCCUCUCGGAACGUCACAGGAGUGCCUCGAAUGGGCAGACUGACCUGCAGCCCUACAGGGAAGUGAACCCAGGCAAAUGUCUUUCCAGGCUUCUCCGAUGCAGGAGGGAGGGGCCCCCGGAAGGUGGUGGUGGUAGUGAUGAUGCCGAGUUGCCAACAAACAAGGAAGCACAGGAUCUUUCCAAGUUGUUUUUGAGGUGAACUGCCUUACAGGGAUAAGGUCUACCUUGCCCGCCAUGCUGAGUCUCAGAGGGCUUUAUCUUUUCUCCUUGAAUCACAAGACCCCUCCCACACUUCUCCUGCUGACCAUGAGGUGUUUCUGCCAGAGGGAAGUGACAGGAAGACAAUUUGCUCAGACCAGCCAACAGACCUUUGAUCUUGGGAGGAUGGGCAGAGAGGCCAGAGUCCAGGACUGCAGAGAAGAGCUGAGGUUUUCAGCAGUCAUCAGAGGAUUCCUUGCUUCUGAUUGAAUAGAUAAAGUUUGAAGUCCAAGAAUCUGCACUGUUUACAAAGCAGUAGUUUUACUGAUGGAGUGGUCACAGUUUGUAGCAGCAGACCAAGGGACACUGCAUUUCAUCCUCUCCAUUGGCCCAGGUCUCCCAAAGACAACCCCCUGAGCGUCCCUGUGGUCUGCUGCCACCAUCGCCACACCUGUAGCUGCAACUCGUAUGGCUGCGGGUUUGGGAAGGGCUGUUGCCAGCAGAAGAGCUGCUGCUGGAAGCAAUGCUGCUUCUAAGUGGCCUGGCCCGGCCCUGCUUCUGGGGUAAGAGAUGCUGGAAGCUGUUCUCUGCAGUUAAGGAGACUUCCCUUCCUCUUCCCCCUUGCUGUCACCUGGAUCUCCUGGGACUUACUCUUUUGGACAAUAUCUCUGGUUUUUGAACUCUGUGCUCCUCUCUUUCAAAAUGAUGGUCUUAAACCUUUUUAUCUGAAAAACAUUCCAAACAAACAAGAAAUGGUUUGAAAAAAAUUCCAAACAAACAAGAAAUGGCCAUUACAGAGCUGUAAACCCAGCCAAAGGGAUCACAGUUCUGAGUGUUCUAUCUGAUGGGUGUUUUGCAGCCUUCCAACUUGGUACUUCUACCUCUCUGUGUGCACACUAUGUCUAUUACUCUUACCUGCUCUAGUCCUAUUACUAUUGUUUCCAGUCAUCACAUAGCUCCUGCCUAAAUUUCCUAAUAAAACAUGAAAACCGACCCUCAGGAAUUCUGCUUUUAUUCUGCUAUGGCAACAACAGCUUUCCAUCUUCUUGAAAAAUUUGAAUGACCCACAUGCAGAGACAGCAAUGCACGCACAGGGCUUCUGGUGUCCAGGCCUCCCAGCCACACGCCGUUUUCCCAUCUCAUGAGAUGGAUGAUUCCGUAAGAUAAUUCAACUCCUGCUACCUUGUGUACCUCUUCCCUAAAGGCCCUGUGACCCUGCUUAUCUGUCAAAAGUGCAUCACAUUCCUCCAGUGACAACUUUCUCAACCAGAUCUACAGAUUUCACCUAUGUCAAGGCCUAAAUAUAGGCAAAGGGCAAGUCCAAACAAGCUAGAACUAUCACCUUAUUUAUUUCUUCUCAGAAAUGGCUAUUGUCUUGCCAUUUCUAUCUCCUUAUUUCUGUUAUUUGUCUAUGAGUUCUGUUUCUGUUGUUGUUUCUGAGUCAUUCUAUGUACAAAACAAAACAUUUAAAAUAUUUCUCCAUAAGGUGUUCUUACCAGUCACAAAACCCUACACCUUACAAAGCAAACCUGUGUUUUAAUUCAAAGGAGUAAUAAUCUUUCUCUUUAAUGAGAU